CGGGACGGUGAGUAACGCGUGGGCAACCUGCCUUACACAGGGGGAUAACACUUAGAAAUAGGUGCUAAUACCGCAUAAGCGCACAGCUUUGCAUGAAGCAGUGUGAAAAACUCCGGUGGUGUAAGAUGGACCCGCGUCUGAUUAGCUGGUUGGCAGGGUAAAGGCCUACCAAGGCGACGAUCAGUAGCCGGCCUGAGAGGGUGAACGGCCACAUUGGGACUGAGACACGGCCCAGACUCCUACGGAAGGCAGCAG
Molecule: ribosomal RNA, 255 nt
Filed under: uncultured bacterium
Lineage: Bacteria
Description: partial 16S ribosomal RNA
Rfam family: Bacterial small subunit ribosomal RNA
Source: RNAcentral